ACUACAGAUAAGGGAAGGGAUAAAUGUGAACGAGCAAUAACUAUAUAAACAACACAAAACCAGUGACACAGCAGCCCUUCCUAUGAGCAUAAAGCAAAAUUGAAACCAAACCCAUCCUGGCAUUGAAGAAAAUAUAACCCCAAUUAAGAAAUGCUAAUUAUUUGUCUCACUAUAUUCCCAGCACUUCAGUGGCGGUGAAGUCCAGGACCUCUACUCUGUGGGUAAUUGGAACCCGUGGAGCAGGAGCACUGGAGAGUCCCUUGAUGACUGUUGGAACUGAAGGAGCGGACCGAGAAGCCUCAGGAUUGUUGUCUGGGCAGAUGUUUCACUUCCACUGUGCGCUGUGAAACCAUUUGGUGACUCGUUUCUUCCCAGACUUUAUUCCAGCUGGAAGCUGGAAUUCUUCUGGAGCCUUGACAUCACAGAUGUGGUGUCUUGCAGGAAUUAGAAUACCUGCUUCUCCAUGUUCGGCUUGAAUCAACAUCUUAUCAGGUAAGUCAAUAGUUAUAUUGAAUUGUUGCAACAGAUUUAUUCCUAAUAUGCCUGUACCAUCCAA
RNAcentral lists this long non-coding RNA (556 nucleotides) under Gopherus agassizii (Agassiz's desert tortoise). RNAcentral describes it as "lncRNA (ENSGAGG00000016567.1)". The record is from RNAcentral. Lineage: Eukaryota; Metazoa; Chordata; Testudines; Testudinidae.